UAGGGAAUCUUCGGCAAUGGACGAAAGUCUGCCCGAGCAACGCCGCGUGAGUGAAGAAGGUUUUCGGAUCGUAAAACUCUGUUGUUAGAGAAGAACAAGGACGUUAGUAACUGAACGUCCCCUGACGGUAUCUAACCAGAAAGCCACGGCUAACUACGUGCCAGCAGCCGCGGUAAUACGUAGGUGGCAAGCGUUGUCCGGAUUUAUUUGGCGUAAAGCGAGCGCGGGCGGUGUCUUAAGUCUGAUGUGAAAGCCCCCGGCUCAACCGGGGAGGGUCAUUGGAAACUGGGAGACUUGAGUGCAGAAGAGGGGAGUGGAAUUCCAUGUGUAGCGGUGAAAUGCGUAGAUAUAUGGAGGAACACCAGUGGGGAAGGCGGCUCUCUGGUCUGUAACUGACGCUGAGGCUCGAAAGCGUGGGGAGCAAACAGG
Molecule: ribosomal RNA, 429 nt
Filed under: Gemmatimonadota bacterium
Lineage: Bacteria; Pseudomonadati; Gemmatimonadota
Description: Gemmatimonadetes bacterium partial 16S ribosomal RNA
Rfam family: Bacterial small subunit ribosomal RNA
Source: RNAcentral